ACAGAGGGUGCGAGCGUUAAUCGGAAUUACUGGGCGUAAAGCGCACGUAGGUGGCUUUGCAAGUCGAUUGUGAAAUCCCCCGGCUUAACCUGGGAACUGCGUCUGAUACUGGACGGCUUGAGUAUGGGAGAGGGAUGUAGAAUUCCAGGUGUAGCGGUGAAAUGCGUAGAUAUCUGGAGGAAUACCGGUGGCGAAGGCGGCAUCCUGGACCAUUACUGACGCUGAGGCGCGAAAGCUAGGGGAGCAAACGGGA
Molecule: ribosomal RNA, 253 nt
Filed under: uncultured prokaryote
Description: partial 16S ribosomal RNA
Rfam family: Bacterial small subunit ribosomal RNA
Source: RNAcentral